Non-coding RNA from Chionomys nivalis (European snow vole), 136 nucleotides. Lineage: Eukaryota; Metazoa; Chordata; Mammalia; Rodentia; Cricetidae. The record is from RefSeq and is a predicted model, not a curated record.
GUGACCGUUCCUGGUAGUGAUUGCAUUUGUUAGUUAUACAGUGCAACCGCAGACGGUCACAUACAUCAAAACAGUUGGCUCUUGCCGACAGAGUCUGUAUAGUUAUCAGAUUUUCUGUGCGAUGGCUCCAUACAUA